UAAGCUCUUUGUGGCAAAAAAGAGG
RNAcentral lists this non-coding RNA (25 nucleotides) under Rattus norvegicus (Norway rat). Lineage: Eukaryota; Metazoa; Chordata; Mammalia; Rodentia; Muridae. The record is from RNAcentral.